Nomascus leucogenys (northern white-cheeked gibbon) is the source of this 1069-nucleotide RNA transcript. It is a transcript of the gene named citrate synthase, mitochondrial-like, with no coding region annotated. The record is from RefSeq and is a predicted model, not a curated record. Lineage: Eukaryota; Metazoa; Chordata; Mammalia; Primates; Hylobatidae. The transcript has 2 exons.
UGGGCAGGGCCUUGCUGAGAACCCCUGGCUGGGCACCUGCUGCGGGUUCAUCUACGCGUUCCCUCAGCUGCCUCCUUUCAACCUUGUCCACCCCAUUGCGGCCUCUGGUGCCGCGGUGGUGGUUCCUGUUCCUGCCGCAGCUCUCUCCCCUUUUUCCCUCUCCACCAGAUCGCGGAGUUCACUCACCACGGUUUUACCCAGGUGGCUGCCAGGCUCUUGGGAAGCAACAGUGCAUCUUGUCUUGUUCUUGCUGCCUGGCAUGCCAGUGCUUCCUCCAAGAGUUUGAAAGACAUAUUGGCUGACCCGAUAGUUAAGGAGCAGGCCAGAAUUAAGACCUUCAGGCAGCAACAUGGCAAGAAGGUGGUGGGCCAAAUCACUGCAGACAUAAUGUAUGGCGGCAUGAGAGGCAUUAAGGGAUUGGUGUAUAAAACAUCAGUUCUUGAUCCUGAUGAGGGUGUCCGUUUCCGAGGCUUCGGUAUCCCUGAAUACCAAAAACUGCUACCCAAGGCUAAGGGUGGGGAAGAACCCCUACCCAGGGGCUUAUUUCGGCUGCUGGUAACUGGACAGAUCCCAAGAGAGGAACAGGUGUCUUGGCUCUCAAGAGAGUGGGCAAAGAGGGCAGCUCUACCUUCCCAUGUGGUCACCAUGCUGGACAACUUUCCCACCAAUCCACACCCGUGUCUGAGCUCAGUGCAGCCUGGCAGCCCUAAACAACUUUGCCUGAGCAUAUCCAGAGGGUGCCAGUCAAACCAAGUACUGGGAGUUGAUUUAUGAAGACCAUGCGUAUCUAAUCACAAAGCUACCUUGUAUUGCAGAAAAGGUCUACCGAAAUAUCUGUGGAGAGGGCAGUGGUAUUGGGGCCACUGAGUCUGAGCUGGACCGGUCCCACAGUUUCACCAACAUGUUAGGCUAUACUGAUGCUCAGUUCACUGAGCUCAUGCACCUGUAGCUCACCAUCCACAGUGACCAUGAGCGGGCUGGCAGGUCCUCUACAUGGACUGGCAAAUCAGGAAGUGCUUGUCUGGCUAACACAACUACAGAAGGAAGUUGGCAAAUAUGUGUCAGAUGA